AAUAUAUCCAGGAAAUAUGGUUGAUGAUCUUACAGGUACUUAAAUGAUUGUUUGUUAUUGAUGUUUGAAUAAGCUGAUGCAUCUUUCUGUUUCAAAUUUACUGUUAUGUUGUUGGGGCGUGAGCUCUUCGAUUCGAGUUAUAUAGUGGUUAUCUCGCAAAGAAAUUAGGUUGCAUUUGUUUGAGGAAUUUUUUUCCUCAAAAGUUGCAACAUUUGUUGCCAAAUGACUUUGUUGUUUAAAGGGUCGUCUCCAGACCCAUUUCUCGGUCAUAAAAAGGUAUCUUUGUUGAAGUUUUAUCAAGAAGUAUUUGCAAAACUUUUCCAAGAAACUGGGAUCGAAGACGUUGUUAUAGGACAUUUUUCAGUGAAUAAUUCUUCCACCCAUAAAGCACUCACAAAUUCUCAACAAGUUUGUAAUUAGUCACAUGUUUCCUUUUUAUUUCCAAAAAAAAAAUUCAAUAAACUUUUACCAAAUUUUGUUCCAAUCAGUCCUUAAUAGUUUAAACAUACUAAGUGAAGAUCUUUGUCAACUGACGUAUACAUUCUUCAGCCUAGAUAGAUUAAGAAUGGCAAUAAUCAGUAGCGAGGAGGAGAUUUGUGGUGAGGGUGGUUGUGGGGGG
This 619-nucleotide long non-coding RNA is filed under the name Nicotiana benthamiana. RNAcentral describes it as "long non-coding RNA (NBEN_LNC002433)". The record is from RNAcentral. Lineage: Eukaryota; Viridiplantae; Streptophyta; Magnoliopsida; Solanales; Solanaceae.